Molecule: long non-coding RNA, 1942 nt
Organism: Salvelinus fontinalis (brook trout)
Lineage: Eukaryota; Metazoa; Chordata; Actinopteri; Salmoniformes; Salmonidae
Exons: 2
Source: RefSeq, a predicted model, not a curated record
UCGUGACGUAUAAUCUAGUGGACGGUUCUUCAAAAACAACAAUUCAACCACCUCGGUAGCUUGCUAGCCAACGUAGCCGAAAGAUUCAAGCUGUUUUUACGCUUUCGGUGUAUAUUAGCUGCUGUGUUUUAGACACAAUUCUAUCGUAUAUACUUGUUAGCCUAUUUAAUUUAAUGUUACGUUUUUUUUAUUAGUCAGAUAUAGUAGCUGGCUGGUUAAAUUAGCACUAGCUUAGUCGCUAAUGAUAGCUAGCUAGCUAACAUCCCCGAACAUGAGGUCACUAAGCUUCUCCCCUCCUGGUAAAGAAGAAGGGGUCUGCUGGACGGAGAAAGAAGCUCUGGGGCUGAACAUUGUCGUGAAAGAGGAGAAGGAAGAGGAGGAUGUCACAGUUGUUGAUAAAACGUUUACUGGAGACAGGAGAUCAAGUGGAGACAUAGGACGAGGAGAGAGACGUGAUCGUGUAUCCUCUGGGGAGCCUCAACAUCAUGAUGCUAACGAGGCAGAGAAGAGUCUCUCCCGAUCAUAUCACCUCAAGAAACACCAGAGGAGACCCACAGGGAAGAAAUCUCACUGCUCUGACUGUGGGAAAGGUUGCAAAUCUUCAUCAGAACUUAAAAUACACCAGCGAGUACACACAGGAGAGAAAUCUCACCACUGUUUUGAUUGUGGGAAGAGUUACUUAAGAUCAGAAUCACUAAAAGUACACAUGAGAAUUCACACUGGAGAGAAACCUUAUAGCUGUGAUCAAUGUGGGAAAAUGUUAUUCACACAAGCUGCCUGAUAGUACAUCUGAGAGCACACACCGGAGAGAAACCUUACCACUGUUCUGACUGCGGAAAGAGUUUUAUUAGUUCAACAAAUUUAAAAUCACACCAGAAAAUACACAUAGUAGAGAAACCUUUUAACUGUACUCAAUGUGGGAAGAGGUUUAAUCACUCAAGCUGGCUGAUAGUACAUCUGAGAGCACACACAGGAGUGAAACCUUAUAGCUGUGAUCAAUGUGGGAAGAGUUUUGUUACAUCUAGCCAUCUGACUAUACACCAGAGAACACACACAGGAGAGAAAUCUUAUAGCUGUAGUCAAUGUGGGAAGAGUUUUAUUCAGUCAAGCAGCCUGGUAUCACACCAGAGAACACACACAGGAGAGAAACUUCAUAGCUGUGAUCAAUGUCACAAGAGAUACUCUGAUAAAAGAUCUCUGAUCAAACAUCAGAAAAUACAUACAUGAAGUAGUUGUUUCAUGAUAUCAAUGAAAUGUCACAAUGUAGAAUAUUUGAAUGAUGUCACAAUGUAGAAUGUUUUAACAUUGUAGUAGGAAUACAAAGGAUUUGAAUUUGUUAAAAGUCCAUAUUGAUACAGAAACACUAAACCAUGAUUUAGAUGUAUUAAGAACAAGUUGAUUGACUAAGUCAUGAAAAAUGGAAUAAACCACAUUUUGGCUCUGAUAAAAGAUAUGCCUCUGGGGUCAAAAUGUUCCAUGUCAGAACUAUGGUUCAUUGUAAAUAUGUAGUGGGUCUAAAGUUUGUUUUAAAUUAUCACUCAUUAAACACGAAUCAAUCAACACAUGCUUCUCUUUGAACGACUUAAUAUAAUAUUACACUUUUAUGAAAUAAAUGAAAAUAAACUUUUGGUUCCUCAACUGCGUUGCCCACUCCAGUCAGCAGAAAGAGACACAGCAGAAGUGCCUCUUUUUAGAUUUGAUUUGAUUUAUAUAUUUUUUUAUUCCAAAUGCAGAUCUACAAUUUACAUUGUUACAUCAUACAAAACAGAACACAGGUAUUAACAAGAAAAUACUAAAACAGACAAAACAUAUAAAUAAUUAACUAUUCUAGUGUAGUUGUAAUCACUCUGAAAAAAUCUAUAAUGAUUCAGGAAGAUGUUAUUGUUGUUGUUAUUCACUAGGAUUAAUGUUUUAAUAAAAUAGUUACAUUCAAUCAGAAAAA